Corythoichthys intestinalis (scribbled pipefish) is the source of this 1276-nucleotide long non-coding RNA. RefSeq lists it as uncharacterized. NCBI's taxonomy places the organism in Eukaryota, Metazoa, Chordata, Actinopteri, Syngnathiformes, Syngnathidae. The record is from RefSeq and is a predicted model, not a curated record. The transcript is spliced from 3 exons.
UGAAGAGCUUUUCAGAUUUCGCUCUUAAGUGUUUUACUCAGUUGAAUUGUAUUAAAUGCGUCAUUCGCUCUCUCAAAAAGUCACAUAAAAAAAAAAUAAUAAUAAUUGACCGCGUAGUUUUUGAGUUAUGGCCAUAGCAACACCAUAGCAACGAGGGACGCGCCGUCCUGCCGACCCCUACCUCGUGACGUAACUUCCAGGAAGCCUCGCCACCACUCUGAACACGGAAAUAUAGCACCACGCUAUCCUCGCCAUAUAUUGCAAACAUUUUCUGGGUUUUACUCGCGGGAUUCGUCAUGCCAUCUCGAUGUGUAGCGAUAUGAAUUACUCACAGGAAGACUCGAGACUCUAGGAGUGGUCCAAAAAAAAACUUCUCCUGCAAAGCCACGACAGCUUUGAAAACCUACAACAAUGCAACCUUGGUUUUCCAAAGACGAAGCCAAACAUAAAAAAUUAAGUGGCGGAAACCCUCAACACGAUGAAAAAAGCGUUGCAAGUCAGUUGCCACCCAGUUUCCCAAAAUCAAGAGCGAGUGGGUCGAGUCAUAUGACGACCGAAGUGAUGCGGUGUCCAGCGAUGACGACUGAAGAGAUCCUAUGGGGCCUGCCAGAUGCUGAAUUUCUUCCGUCUGCGACAUCAGAUGACGAUGAUUUAGGAGAAAUAAAUGUAGCAAAUUUUGAUGACAUGAAAUCAUAAACUAGUCAUAUAUACAGUACACAUUCUUAAAAAGAAAAAUCAAGUUACCUUCAUAUUUUAAUGAUAAUGCAUUAUCUUUGUAUAGAGAACACUUCAUGCUACAGAAAAGAGUAAAUCCAUAUUUCCCACUGCCAUUAUCAUUUUUCAAUGUUGCGCUAGUCCGUUGCUAUCCUAACUUUGUGUUGCUUACUAAAAUUAUGCUCUUUGAUGUGUGCCGUUGUGUGCUUGGUAUAACAUGUUGUGUCACAAUCUGACAACGAAAGCUAAUGCUGAUUCAACAUAAACCUGGUAUCAUUUAUUAUUGCGGCCUAUUGAAUAUUUUUUCAGAAUGUGAUAUAAUUACAAUAUAUUAUAUACCAAUAGAAUACAUUAAACAGUCAACAAAAUGUGUCAAUGUUGUUAACAAUUUAUGGUUUUAUUUUUUUAAUGAAAUUCAUGCCCCUGUCAGUGCUUCAGCCUCCGCAAGUUUGGCUCUCACGUCUGGGAUCUCCUGAUGACACAGGCAUACUCUUGGAAGGGUAAUUACUUGACGGUUUACAGCAACACCUGGAAAAUAAAAUGGUUUUGUCAUUUAUUUUGA